Molecule: small nucleolar RNA, 73 nt
Organism: Phragmites australis (common reed)
Lineage: Eukaryota; Viridiplantae; Streptophyta; Magnoliopsida; Poales; Poaceae
Source: RefSeq, a predicted model, not a curated record
AUCAAAUGAUGCCAAUACAAGUUAUUGCUGUCUUUGAGGAAUUACAAAAUCGAGUUUUUUAAAACUGAUGGUU